Molecule: long non-coding RNA, 378 nt
Filed under: Rattus norvegicus (Norway rat)
Lineage: Eukaryota; Metazoa; Chordata; Mammalia; Rodentia; Muridae
Description: long non-coding RNA NONRATT004218
Source: RNAcentral
UCUCCCAGCACCUGGACACCCAUCUAAUAUAUUUCUAGCCCAGGCAUGGCCUUCUCUCUGCUGGGCCUGGACAGGGGUUCCUGGGCAGUACUUCGGCUCACUGGCCCGCUUGGCGUCUGUAGGUUCUUUUUCCGAAGCGGGAACAUUGAGCACCCAGAAGAUAAGCUCUUCAACACUUCUGUGGAGGUGCUGCCCUUCGAUGUGAGUAUGGCGGGUGUGGGUGGGAGCUGACAGCGCCCCCUUCUGGCCAGACACUCAAGCCCUGCUGCUUUGCCCUUAGAACCCCCAGUCAGAGAAGGAGGCCCUUCAGGAGGGCCGCUCAGCCACUCUCCGGUACCCUCGGAGCCCUGAUGGCUACCUCCAGAUUGGUGAGUAGGG